AAAAUUCUAAAUGUAAAAAACUAUUUUGUUUUAGAAUUCAAUCAUUUUAAUGUAAUAAUUAUCCAUCAUUUAAGAAAUAAUGUAAAAAUCACUUAAUGCAUUUUAAUACAAUAUAACUGUACGUAACGGCCAAAAAGUUCGGGCACCUCGGCAAACACCUUACCACUGCAGGCAUUGAACAAAAACGAUGAAAUUAAUCAAGAAUCACAAACGUUUACCCCCAUCGACCCUAAUCUAAGAAUCACUCUAGCUUACCAGACAAUAAUCGGAUUCAGAUCAUAAACAAAAAAACGCACUGUCAUCCUGCACUUAACAGUCACUUGCCGCUCAUUUCGAUAAGAUUCUGUGGAAUUCGAAAGCGCGGGAACCUUCGAGUUCUUUGCAUUCUAACAUUCGGAAAGCCCUUAAACGAACCUAACACUGAACCCAGCUGUGAUGGGUCGCUGACACAUACACCUAUAGAUCAAUACGGUACAGUUAGUCAGGCACUUGACUUUCUCCAACGAAUGCGAUCAAACCAGACAGACUGCAGCUGUCACCAGCCAGCCGUCAUGUGGGAACCGGGAAGGCCCCUCCUUUCUGCAACUUGUCGUCUCCGCUCGCUCCGAGCUCACGCUCGUGGCUCUAAGCGAUACAGCCCCAGUCAUGCGGAGUCAAAGCGAAAGCGAGGAGAUCCAGCGCUGACGGAAGUUUUAAUCCAAUGGACUACGAGCGUUGUAAUGACUGAAAGACGAGCACGGCGUUCGAGUCAAUAAAGCGACUGAUUCGCGUGGAAAACCGAUAGGAAAACAUGAAUUUCCAUUUGUCCGUCUCGAGGCGACUUUGCUUUGACGGCUUCGGUCUGCGUGUGAUUAUGGCUCAAAAAUGACCAAUGCAUCGUCUUGGUACUUCUGUUUUGACGCUUAUUAUACUACCUCUCGCGUUUUCCUGUGAAAGUGGCCGCAAUAAAAACCAGAUCACCGAGGAUUACCGCAAUAUCAUUAGGAUACAGCUGAAGCACGUUCAGGAUAUUAUUGAACAACUGAAUUCGAACUGCACAGUAAGAAAUGUCAGCAUGUCGAAGGAGCCAAAAAAUACACAGUCCAUCCUCAGAAAAAUCUGCAAGGUUAACGGAAAACUGAGUAAAAUCGGGAGAGAACUGGAGAAUGUAAAUGGACAACUGAAAGAUGCAUUAUAUAGACUUGUGGGAGAAAUAAAUGAGUCCUUGAGAUGUUGGUGCUAUGGAAAGAGAGAGGGGACAAAAAAGCCAACACAGCAAAUACGAAAGUGGAAACUUUGCAGAGUGAAAGACAUUCUUGCUAACUUACAGAGACACUUUGAACAAUACAAUGCGUAUCUGUCACUCGGCACAGACCUUCCAGAGCGUGGGAAGACUUCAGAGCAAACCGGUAUAUAAUGUUUGGCCUCCAUCCAUCUUGUAGCUCUAUUAUAACAAAUGAAUGUACAGAAUAUGAAGAACUGGACAAACCAUGUGCCAUUCACACUAUUCAGUAUUUGAAUGAAACUAAACUUUAAUGGAAAAUAUGUGCUAAACGUAAGCAUGCUUUGUACUUGGGAUAAUUAUCUUUGAGCACGGAGGGUGAUGCAACUUACAAAUGAAACUGAUAUUAUAUUAAUUCUCUAGCCCUCAAGUUACAAUUUUUUUUGGAAGUGACCCUAUCUAAGUCUUACAUGUUUUCUUAAAGCCUUACAUUUUAGAUUAAAAUUAAACAGAACGUGUUCCAACUCUAGGAAACUCGGUUAAUACUUUUUAUAUGAUGUUCUUUCUUUUAAAUCCUCAUUUCAGUUUAUAAUGAUUAAAAUUUCGCUUCUGAAAUAUUUAACAGUACAUGCCAAGAAAAUUCUUGCCUUUUUAAUUUACUGUCCUUAAGAUUUUUAUUUUUUUAAAUAACCAGUAUUUAUUUAAACUGCAUUUUUAUGCAACAGCUACACUGAUUUACAGAAAUUUGAAAACAAGCUUAUAUGUCACUUUCUAUGGUACGUUAACUAAGGGUCACUUCCCUUGUAUAAAGAACUAUCUUGUUAACUUUUCACAAUAUUCACUUCAUAUAUGUUUUGAUAUAUAACAGUAUAACAGAUUUAGUUUUUUUACAUAAUGUUUAACAUUAAUGGACAUUUUUAAAAAUACUUUUGUAUUGCUAUGUAACAUCAAAUUACCACUUUUUUUUUCUUCGUAAGUUCAUGCCAGUAGUAGCAAGGAAAACAAUGGGUUUGUAAAGAGAAACUGAAAUAUGAAACAAAACCAUGUAAAAAAAAAAAACAACAACUCUCAACUAGGGCUGUCAGUCAAUGAAAAAUGAUAAUUAAUGCUUAUAUAACGAAUAACUACAUAUGUUGCAUAUCAAUAUUUGUUGACAAAAGCACCUAAAUAAAUUAAUCACAUCAUUGUGACUAAAUCACCGUUUAGGCAUUAAAACACUGGGUCAGCAAUUACAAUAAAUGCUUAUUUCUUUUUAAAUAAACAGGUAACUGUACUAAAUUAAUGUGUUAAUUGGCAGCCCUAAAUAAACAGGACACAACUUGAUUCAUGUUUUCCACUUUAUUUAUAUAGGAUGAAUUUAACCAAUUUUAACCACUGUAUUCUUUAAUGGCAAAAUUGGUCAUAAUCCCAAAAGCAGGUAUUCAUAAGCUAUAUUUACUGCCAGAACAGCAGUAAUACAAGAAUAACAAGGUGCAGAGUGAUGCUUAAAACGUAUAUGAGCUCCUCGACCUCUCUCACCCUGGACCAGCAGUGAUCAAACUUAAAGGCUCAAAAGCAAUUAAAUACCAUUGUAAAGCUACUUUUUGUAAGGUUUGUAAUAUGGUGGACGCUCUUGAAGGAUGUGACAUGACAUUGCAGACACCUUUAAGUUUUGUAUGUUGUGUUAAUGUGUAAAUAUGAUCAACCAAGGCUGAACAGAUGUGACGGAUUGCAUGUCUAAUAAAUAUACGACGCCAACUUCUACAA
This is a long non-coding RNA of Puntigrus tetrazona (Sumatra barb), 2947 nucleotides long. RefSeq lists it as uncharacterized. The transcript has 5 exons. The record is from RefSeq and is a predicted model, not a curated record. NCBI's taxonomy places the organism in Eukaryota, Metazoa, Chordata, Actinopteri, Cypriniformes, Cyprinidae.